RNAcentral lists this ribosomal RNA (317 nucleotides) under Bacillus thuringiensis. Its description in RNAcentral is "partial 16S ribosomal RNA". It matches the Rfam family "Bacterial small subunit ribosomal RNA", at positions 1227 to 1533 of the family's 1533-position model. The record is from RNAcentral. Lineage: Bacteria; Bacillati; Bacillota; Bacilli; Caryophanales; Bacillaceae.
ACAAUGGACGGUACAAAGAGCUGCAAGACCGCGAGGUGGAGCUAAUCUCAUAAAACCGUUCUCAGUUCGGAUUGUAGGCUGCAACUCGCCUACAUGAAGCUGGAAUCGCUAGUAAUCGCGGAUCAGCAUGCCGCGGUGAAUACGUUCCCGGGCCUUGUACACACCGCCCGUCACACCACGAGAGUUUGUAACACCCGAAGUCGGUGGGGUAACCUUUUUGGAGCCAGCCGCCUAAGGUGGGACAGAUGAUUGGGGUGAAGUCGUAACAAGGUAGCCGUAUCGGAAGGUGCGGCUGGAUCACCUCCUUUCUAUGGAGA